GUGCUCAACGCAGGGCGUUGCCAGCAUAAAUAAUGAAAGUGGAACAAUGCAGAGAAGACGAGCAUUAUUCCCUGUGCAAGGAUGACAUACAAAUUCAUGGAGCGUUUCACAUGUUU
Small nuclear RNA from Jaculus jaculus (lesser Egyptian jerboa), 116 nucleotides. NCBI's taxonomy places the organism in Eukaryota, Metazoa, Chordata, Mammalia, Rodentia, Dipodidae. The record is from Ensembl.